AACGAACGCUGGCGGCAUGCCUAACACAUGCAAGUCGAACGAGACCUUCGGGUCUAGUGGCGCACGGGUGCGUAACGCGUGGGAACCUGCCCUUAGGUUCGGAAUAACUCCCCGAAAGGGGUGCUAAUACCGGAUAAUGUCUUCGGACCAAAGAUUUAUCGCCUUUGGAUGGGCCCGCGUUGGAUUAGCUAGUUGGUAGGGUAAAAGCCUACCAAGGCGACGAUCCAUAGCUGGUCUGAGAGGAUGAUCAGCCACACUGGGACUGAGACACGGCCCAGACUCCUACGGGAGGCAGCAGUGGGGAAUAUUGGACAAUGGGCGAAAGCCUGAUCCAGCAAUGCCCGUGAGUGAUGAAGGCCUUAGGGUUGUAAAGCUCUUUUACCCGGGAUGAUAAUGACAGUACCGGGAGAAUAAGCUCCGGCUAACUCCGUG
Molecule: ribosomal RNA, 432 nt
Filed under: uncultured bacterium
Lineage: Bacteria
Description: partial 16S ribosomal RNA
Rfam family: Bacterial small subunit ribosomal RNA
Source: RNAcentral